Molecule: ribosomal RNA, 251 nt
Filed under: uncultured prokaryote
Description: partial 16S rRNA
Rfam family: Bacterial small subunit ribosomal RNA
Source: RNAcentral
ACGGAGGGUGCAAGUGUUAUUCGGAAUCACUGGGCGUAAAGAGCACGUAGGCGGAUAGGUAAGUCAGAUGUGAAAUCCCGGGGCUUAACUUCGGAACUGCAUUUGAUACUGCCUGUCUUGAGUAUGGUAGAGGGGGAUGGAAUUCCCGGUGUAGAGGUGAAAUUCGUAGAUAUCGGGAGGAACACCAGAGGCGAAGGCGAUCCCCUGGGCCAUUACUGACGCUGAGGUGCGAAAGCGUGGGGAGCAAACAG